This 772-nucleotide long non-coding RNA is filed under the name Ananas comosus (pineapple). RNAcentral's name for it is "long non-coding RNA (ACOM_LNC004584)". The record is from RNAcentral. Lineage: Eukaryota; Viridiplantae; Streptophyta; Magnoliopsida; Poales; Bromeliaceae.
CUUAUUUAUAAUAAAACUAAGAGAGUAAUACUUCAAUACAUUAUAUAAAUCUUGACCAUUUAUUUUUCUGAAUAGAUGGUUUAGAUUUAAUAUAACUCUAGAGGUGACCUACUAUUGAAGCAUUGGUACCAUCCACCAGGUACCUAUUUAAAAGGUAUUUUGGUCUUUGUAAAAUAUUUUGGUUUACAAAUUAAAUUAGUUUUAUCCAACUAAAAAUACUGUGAUCUUUUCAAAUGCCUACAGCAAUAGUUGGAUUUCAAAUUACAACCAAAUUAUAAAUUUAAAUUCAAAACAACAUUUAAAACUUAAUUAUAAAUCAAAUUCAAUUUUUUUAAAUAUAAAACACAAAUUUAAAAUAAAACUUUCAAUUCCAAUUCAAAAUUUCAAUUUAAAUCAAAAAUUAAAAUUUGGUUUUAAGAUUAAAAGUUCAAAUUAGAUUCAAAUUUAAAAGUUUAAUAUAAAUUUCAAAAUUAAAAUUUUACAUUACAAGACCAACUUCAAAAAUUAAAUUUAAAUUCAAUAGUUUUUUAAGCUGGAUACUUAACAAAUUGGGUUUUAUCUAAUUUGAUAAGUUACCAAAGUAAAUAAGAUAUUUAAUAUUUAUAGGAUGCUCACAAAUUUGGUAAAUAGUAUAUACUACUAAUUUUUUUUUUCAAUAUUAUCAUAUUAAUUUAUUCAAAUCGGUAACCUGUUCAACAGGUUACUUCAUGUAAAACCCAAUUAUACCCUUUACUAAUUAAGAAUUAAAUUUUAAUAUUUAUAGUGUAUUGAA